RNAcentral lists this ribosomal RNA (117 nucleotides) under Candidatus Syntrophosphaera sp. Lineage: Bacteria; Pseudomonadati; Candidatus Cloacimonadota; Cloacimonadia (SeqCode); Cloacimonadales (SeqCode); Cloacimonadaceae (SeqCode). The record is from RNAcentral.
GAUGGUGGUCAUAGCAGCGGGGCCACACCUGUUCCCAUCCCGAACACAGUAGUUAAGCCCGCUCGCGCCGAUGGUACUGCAUGGGCAACUGUGUGGGAGAGUAGGUCGCCGCCAUCG